Molecule: long non-coding RNA, 1288 nt
Organism: Pezoporus occidentalis (night parrot)
Lineage: Eukaryota; Metazoa; Chordata; Aves; Psittaciformes; Psittacidae
Exons: 3
Source: RefSeq, a predicted model, not a curated record
AGAAGCUGGGAUUUAUUAGAGCUCAAAGGUGGGUGGCCAUGCUCUGGUUAGUUGCGAUGCCUCUCCCUCGGCAGCCGGCCUCGUCCCAGCCCAGUCAGGAAUACAAACCUCCGGAUGCUCCCGGCUGGCUGGAGGGUCGGGAGGCUGAGUCUGGAUAGCCAGAGGAUGCAGCACCCUGCCGGGAGCAGCGGCCGCUCAGGGAAGCCUCUAAUAGUAUCCUUGGAAAUGACCCACUGGGUAAAAAGGGAGCCAGUAACAAAUCCCUGUGAAAAAAAACAGCCGGUGUAAUUGCCACGAAUGGCCUUACCUCGAAAAGCCAUCACAGCCUGCCCUGUGUCGGGGUGGCACCACGGAGAAAGCAGAACAGUUGGAACAGAGGACCGGCAGCAGUGAGAUGGCACAAAGAUCCCAUCCAGACUGCUGCUGAGUACAUUUGUCCGUGUACCGGGCUCACGUGAAGAGCUUGCAGUGUGACUGCAGGCCUGCGCCAGGUCAUGAUGCUACAGUUCACAUCAGCGUGGUCCAGCACGACACAGCCGCCCCGCAGGAGUGAAAUCGGUGGGAAGGAAAAGCCACAGAGUAAACAGCUCGCUCAGAUAACCCACCCAGAAGCUCAGUGCUAAGUUCAGGCAGCUGCCUGCUCCACACUAGGUACGUGACUGCUGCUUUCCUGUGGACGCUUGCAGCCCAGCUGUGUUGGCAGGUUCUGGUUUAGUAGGUGGCAGGCAGCACCCAGGAGCUUACACUCUUAGACCAAGCGGGCUUGAGGCUUGUUGGCUGCCGCGUCACCCUCAUCAGACCAAACACCUCAUUUCUGAACAGCCUGCGAGAGGCGAUGUGGAUGGAGCCUUUGGCGCGUCCCCAGGGAAGGGUCAGCCAGGGGAGCGCACGCUGCCUGCUCUAAGCAGCUACCGGAGGAGCUCCCGGGGUGACUGCCCGCAGGCUGGUCCAGCGCAGUCGCUCCUGCAGGCAUAAAGAACCAGGGGAGCCGGGCAGCAACUGGGAGGAGUGGAAAAGCACUUGAGAUGCUUGGAAGCGUCUGCCCCGUCCUCCGCUUACCUCUGUCCUCACCUCUGUCGAGACGUGGGGCAGGCCCACGUGCCAGCGAGCGCUGCCGUAGGCUCGGAAGGUGCUUUCCAAGCUGCCCUCAUCCUCCUGCACAUGGUCCUGCUGUUUUAGUGAGUUCUCCUGAAGUUGCUCCUGACCCAGGCUAAGUACUUUUCUGUUGACAUCAACUUUUGCCACGUCACUAUUCACCCCCAGGGUAUUAAGACAGCAUUAAACAGUA